GCGUAAUUGGUUUAGUGGUAAAAUUCUCCGUUGCCAUUCGAGUAACAUCGGGGAGCCCUGGGUUCGAUUCCCAGAUUACGCA
This 82-nucleotide transfer RNA is filed under the name Fusarium culmorum. It matches the Rfam family "tRNA". Rfam says of the family: Transfer RNA (tRNA) molecules are approximately 80 nucleotides in length. Their secondary structure includes four short double-helical elements and three loops (D, anti-codon, and T loops). Lineage: Eukaryota; Fungi; Ascomycota; Sordariomycetes; Hypocreales; Nectriaceae. RNAcentral also lists the same sequence under 9 other names. The record is from Rfam by way of RNAcentral.